Molecule: long non-coding RNA, 1082 nt
Filed under: Salmo salar (Atlantic salmon)
Lineage: Eukaryota; Metazoa; Chordata; Actinopteri; Salmoniformes; Salmonidae
Description: lncRNA (ENSSSAG00000092673.1, ENSSSAG00000113893.1)
Source: RNAcentral
UGGUGUUGGUAGUAGUUGUAAUGAUUAUGGUAGUGAUAGCAGUUUAGUGAUGGUGGUGGUGGUAGUAUUCGUAGUAAUGAUGAUGGUAGUGAUAGCAGUUUAGUGACGGUGAAGGUAAUAGUAAUGAUGAUUGUAGUGACACCAGUUUAGUGGUGGUGGUAGUGAUAGCAGUUAAGUGAUGGUGGUGGUAGUAAUAGUAAUGAUGAUGGUAGUGAUAGCAGUUUAGUGACGUGGUGGUAGUAGUAGAAUUGAAGAUGGUAGUGAUAGCAGUUUAGUGAUGGUGGUAGCAGUAGUAAUGAUGAUGGUAGAGAUAGCAGUUUAGUGAUGGUGGUGGUGGUGGUGGUAGUAGUAGUAAUGAUGAUGGUAGUGAUAGCAGUUUAGUGAUGGUGGUGGUAGUACUACUAAUGAUGAUGGUAUUGAAAGCAGUUUAGUGAAGGGUGGUGGUGGUGGUAGUAGUAGUAAUGAUGAUGGUAGUGAUAGCAGUUUAGUGAUUGCUGUGGUAGUAGUAAUGAUGAUGGUAGUGAUAGCAGUUUAGUGAUGGUGGCGGUAGUAGUAGUAAUGAUGAUGGUAGUGAUAGCAGUUUAGUGAUGGUGGUGGUAGUAGUUGUAAUGAUGAUGGUAGUGAUAGCAGUUUAGUGACGGUGGUAGCAGUAGUAAUGAUGAUGGUAGUUAUAGCAGUUUAGUGAUGGUGCUGUUGGUAGUAGUAGUAAUGAUGAUGGUAGUGAUAGCAGUUUAGUGAUGGUUGUGGUAGUAGUAGUAAUGAUGAUGUUAGUGAUAGCCGUUUAGUGAUGGUCGUGGUAGUAGUAGUAAUGAUGAUGGUAGUGAUAGCAGUUUAGUGAUGGUGGUGGUAGUAGUAGUAAUGAUGAUGGUAGUGAUAGCAGUUUAGUGAUGGUUGUUGUAGUAGUAGUAAUGAUGAUGGUAGUGAUAGCCGUUUAGUGAUGGUGGUGGUGUCGGUCGUAAUGAUGAUGGUAGUGAUAGCAGUUUAGUGAUGGUGGUGGUAGUAGUAGUAAUGAUGAUGGAAGUGAUAGCAGUUUAGUGAUGGUGGUGGUGGUAGUAGUAAUAAUGAUGAUGGCAUUGAUAGCA